UCAUAUAGGUCAACUGCAAUUUGUUUUGCAAUUUGUCCAUACAUGGAAGAUUUAUAAUUAUAAGCAAAUAUUGGAAAUGUGUGAUUAGCUAAUUUUGGCUACGGUAUAUAUAAUUAUAAAGCAAUUGAUGCUACUACCCCAAAUCAACUAUCUAGUCAGUAAAGCUUCUUUUUGGUCGUUUUCAAGUUUUGAUGUUUUCUGUGGCAACUAAUAAAAACUUGCCGCGUAAUUUCUGUGACUGGCCCACUACACCACUGCUUGCAUGAUUUGAUACCUUAUUAUAGACCAGGGUUUCCCAAAGCGUGUUCCUGAAAUGCCUACAGGUCACCAGUACCCAAAAUAUAAUUAAUAGAUGUGAUAGCUGUAAUUAAAGCCAAUGCUUAUGGCCAUGGAAGUUUGGAAAUAGCACGAUACCUGGAAGCUAAUGGAAUAUCACACUUUGCCGUUGCCACAGCUUGGGAGGGGGCUCAGUUGAGGCAAUAUGGUGUGACAGGAUAUAUACAGAUUCUAGGAAGCUGUAUUAAAGAAGAUAUAUACACAACUUGUAAGUUUAAUCUAACUCCUACAAUAUGUACGGCAGAGUUUCUACAAGCAUGGUCAGAUUGGUACCUAAACCAAAACAAGAGUACUGGUUCGGUAGUGAUAAAAUUUGAUACUGGUAUGGGUAGAAAUGGAUGUCAACAAACAGAAUUAAACAGUUUAAUUCAGAAAUGUGAUGAUUUGAAGAUACCUGUUCAUAGUGUUAUGACACAUUUUAGCCAGGCCUGGGAUGAUCCUAAAUUUACUCAACAACAAUUAGAUACAUUUCUUACAGCUACUAAAGACUUACGAUGUAGAGGAAUUAAACUACAUGCAGCUAAUUCAGCUGCUAUAAUACAGGGUUAUGGUACAGAUUUAGAUUUUGUUAGGCCAGGAAUCUGUAUGUACGGUCUUCCACCAGAUCCAAGUAAAGCUACUGUAGAAAAAAUCAAAUCACUGAAUUUAAAACCAGCAUUAUCAUGGUUAGCCAAACCUACAUUAGUUAAAUUAUUACCACCAGGAUCUUAUGUUGGUUAUGAUAAAACAUACCAAUGUAAGGAAGAAGAAAUAAUAGGAACAUUUAGUAUUGGUUAUGCUGAUGGUUACAGAAGACUUCUUUCAUCUGGUGGUGGAUAUCUGACAUCUAUUGAUGGUAAAAGAUUUCCUAUAAUUGGACGUGUUUCAAUGGAUGCAAUCACUGUUAAACUGGAUAACCUUGACUCACAGAAAGUCUAUUAUGUGAUGAAGAAUGACUAUACUUCGGGACAUUCAUUAACAAAACUUGCAGAUGAGUUGAAGACUAUUCCAUAUGAAAUUGCUACAAGUUUAGGUCAGAGAUUACCAAGACUUUAUGUAUCUGAUGAAAAAUUAACAGUAACAAUGUAGUUCUAAAAUUUUGAAUCUCCAAAUAGCUUUAAACCAAAGUGUGGUGAGAGAUAAAGGUUAAAUCAAAAUGUUGCACUGUCUCCCUAUUGAUUCCUUUUUUAAUAAUAUUCCACUUGUCAGAUGUCAAGAGUUAAAAUUUAUCUACCUCGUAAAUAUUUGUUGAAUUGAUGGAUUGAAAGGUUGUCACAUGCUUGUAUCAUGUAAUGGAAUAAAAUAGAGAAAUAUAUCUAAUUCAA
RNA transcript from Patella vulgata (common limpet), 1640 nucleotides. It is a transcript of the gene named alanine racemase, with no coding region annotated. NCBI's taxonomy places the organism in Eukaryota, Metazoa, Mollusca, Gastropoda, Patellidae. The transcript is spliced from 8 exons. The record is from RefSeq and is a predicted model, not a curated record.